Molecule: ribosomal RNA, 1833 nt
Filed under: Neoflabelliforma aurantiae
Lineage: Eukaryota; Fungi; Microsporidia; Dubosqiidae
Description: bacterial SSU rRNA
Rfam family: Microsporidia small subunit ribosomal RNA (bases 1-1371)
Source: RNAcentral
UGACGUGGACACUUGUCUCGAAGAAUAAGCCAUGCAUGUUCGUGAAGCUUUUAGUGAAACUGCGAAUGGCUCAGUAAUAUGGUYCUAAUUUGAUCAACAAGCAUUGGAUAACCACGGGAAACUGUGGCUAAUACAUGUAGAAGAUGUUGUAUGGGAAGAAGACAUCAGAUGUUGAGUAAGGGACCAGCCUAUCAGUUUGAUUGUAGUGUAAAGGACUACAAUGACGAUGACGGGUACGGGGAAUCAGGGUUCGAUUCCGGAGAGGGAGCCUGAGAAAUGGCUCCCAGUUCUAAGGAACCCAGCAGGCGCGAACCAUUUUCAAUCUACAAAGGAAAGUGUGAAGAGACGUGAUUCAAGAAGUACUUUAAAAGGGUACUGAUAAACUAGAAGGCAAGCGAGGUGCCAGCAGCUGCGGUAAUUCCCCCUCUAGGAGUGUCUGUGAGUAUUGCUGUGGUUAAAACGUCCGUAGUUGAUAUAAAGAAGUAGUUUGAUCUACUUUGUAUGGUCAUGGAUAAAAGAAUGUGCUUAAAGCGAUCUAAUCCAUGAUACUAGAUGUGAUAAGAGCAGAUGAGGAACACAGGAUUCUGCAGCGAGAGGUGAAAUUUGAUGACCUGCGGGGGACUAACAGAUGCGAAGGCGGUGUUCUAGGAUGUUUCUGUUAAUCAAGGACUUAAGCCAGAGGAUCGAAGGCGAUUAGAGACCGUCGUAGUUCUGAGCUGUAAACGAUGCCAACGGUACGAUGUGAGGAUUUGCAUUGUAUAAGAGAAAUUUAGUGUUUGGGCUCCAGGGAUAGUACGCCGGCAACGGUGAAAUUUGAAGACAUUGACGGAAGGACACCACAAGGAGUGGAGUGUGCGGCUUAAUUUGACUCAACGCGGGACAACUUACCAGGGCCGGAUGUACGUGUGAAAGAAGGGGUUGAGAUACCUGUCUUGAUUGUACAGAGAGUGGUGCAUGGCCGUUCUCAACACGUGGGGUGACUUGUCAGGUUAAUUCCGGUAACGUGUGAGACCCUUAAAAGACUGGGAACGUAAGUUUCAGGAAGGAAAGGGCAAUAACAGGUCUGUGAUGCCCUCAGAUGUUCUGGGCUGCACGCGCACUACAAUAGAAGAUGUAAAUUUCAGUGUAAAAUAAAAAUCUUUUGAAUGUUGGGAUUGAGUUUUGUAAAUGACUCAUGAACAUGGAAUUCCUAGUAAUUGCUAUUUCAUUAAGAAGCGAUGAAUGAGUCCCUGUCCUUUGUACACACCGCCCGUCGUUAUCUAAAAUGGAUGUGCAGGUGAAGUGAGUGUGAUAGCUAGCUGAACCUGUAUAACUAGAUCGGAUACAAGUCGUAACAAGGUAUCUGUAGGUGAACCUGCAGAUGGAUCAGUGAAAAAAACUAAAUAUUGUGUUGUAAUACUAAAAUAAUCUAGUACAAGGGAUGACUCGGCUCUUGAACCGAUGAAGAUCGUAAAUGAAUACGAAAAAUCAGUCAUCGAAUAGUAUUGUAUAAAUACGAUUACCCCCUGGAGUUAAGCAUAUCAUUAAGGGGCGGAGAAGAAACUAACAAGGAUUUCUGUAGUAGCGGCGAGCGAACAAGAAACAGUCCAAAUGGUAAACCUACGGGUGUUGUAAAAAUAGAMGAGAAGAAUGAAUAGACUGUGAAGUCUGACCAUAGAAGGUUAUAGUCCUGUAAUUCUUCGACUCUUGUACUGGAAGAUUAGGUUUGUUUGGUAGUGCAAACUGAAUAUAGGUGGUAGCGAUCAUCUAAGACUAAAUAUGAACAAGAGACCGAUAGCAAACAAGUACCGCGAGGGAAAGUAACGGGGUUGUAGAAACCAAUAGCGACUGAAA